This 138-nucleotide ribosomal RNA is filed under the name uncultured eukaryote. RNAcentral's name for it is "partial 18S ribosomal RNA". It matches the Rfam family "Eukaryotic small subunit ribosomal RNA", at positions 1299 to 1458 of the family's 1831-position model. The record is from RNAcentral.
UGGUGGGGUGACUUGUCUGCUUAAUUGCGAUAACGAACGAGACCUUAACCUGCUAAAUAGCCCGCAUUGCUCCGGCAGUGCGCUGGCUUCUUAGAGGGGACUUUCGGCUCAAGCCGAAGGAAGUUUGAGGCAAUAACA